GAAUGAUGCCGAGGGUCUAUUUGGAAACAACCUCUCUACCCCAGGGUAGGGGUAAGGUAUGCGUACACAUUACCCUCCCCAGACCCCACUAGUGGGAUUAUACUGGGUUGUUGUUGUUGUUGUUGCUCCUUACAUGAUUCUAGGCUUUAGUAUGAACCUCAGAAGAAUAGUAUGUCUUCUAUGUAGUGAGCUUUGAAGUAUGCUUGGUUUUAAUUGCAUUCUUUAUAUCAAUGGUUUUACAGCUUGAUGGAAAGCGAUUUUCAUCGAAGACGGCGGAGGAUAAUCAGGUGUUCAUACAGUGUAAGAAUGCCACUUGCUUAUCUUGUUCCUUUGUUCAUGUUAUAUUAUGGAAAGAACUAUUAGUGCCUAGGUCUCCAGGAUAUUGUAUGCAUGGUUGGUUUUCAAUAAAUAAAAAGAUCAAUGGGAAUUCUGUGUUUCUAGGAAUACUAUAGCUGUCUCUGGUUUGAUGUUGAUUCAAUAUGGUGGAACCAUCUCAAAGGCAGAGGGUUGAGCUUCCGUCUUUUCUUCUAAUCAUCCUAAAUCCUGAAGAGAAAUUUGUACAGGGGUUAAUGGCCCUUGUAGAUCGAUCCAUUUACAUCUUCUCAGUGUCCAUAUCAAAUCAUUUAUUGUUUUAAUGGACAGUAGGUUAAUCAUGCCUACUUAAUAACAUAAUGUAGAUAGUGGGACAGGCUUGCAACAACCAGAAGUAUUGUAAAAAAGAUGAAGUAACUUGAGUCUCUGGUCUGGUUGUUCGAGAGGCACCGUCC
This 767-nucleotide long non-coding RNA is filed under the name Nicotiana tabacum (common tobacco). Its description in RNAcentral is "long non-coding RNA (NTAB_LNC011807)". The record is from RNAcentral. Lineage: Eukaryota; Viridiplantae; Streptophyta; Magnoliopsida; Solanales; Solanaceae.